This is an RNA transcript of Vicia villosa (hairy vetch), 2073 nucleotides long. RefSeq lists it as uncharacterized. The transcript has 2 exons. Lineage: Eukaryota; Viridiplantae; Streptophyta; Magnoliopsida; Fabales; Fabaceae. The record is from RefSeq and is a predicted model, not a curated record.
UAAAUGCUGGUUCAGUCCUUAACUUCAUGAUGUCUGCUCUUCAUUUUUCUCUAUUGACUCAAGUAAAUACCUUAUACUUACAUGACUUAAUGUUUGUUUUCAUGCUAUGAUGCAGUCUGUUGACAUAACAAGCUACACAGAUGAGGAGUAUGAGAAAUAUUUAGCUAAUCCUGUAGGUAUCAUGUCUAGAUUGCAUGUCUAAAAAUUGUGUUGACCUUCGCUUUUGAGUUUAAUCAAACAACACCUAUUUCAAUUUUUAAUCUACAAGAUGUAUCAUGUUAAGGUUGUUGUUGUUGCCGUGUCUUCAAUGACCUGUAUUGUUAUUAUGUAUAUUGAUAUCGAAAGUCCUUUUUUGUGUAUAUAACCUAAAAUUUGUUUAUUUGCUAUAUUUUAAAUCUUUUAUAUUUUUCUAAUGACUUAGUUGCUAUAAAUACAUGAUAUAUUUUAUGAUCUAUUUCAAAGGAUCUGUAUACCUGAUCCUAACCGUCACUUAGCAUCUGCAUCUUUUGUACACUUAAUUGUACAUCCCAUUUUAUAAAUUUACUUACUCUCAAGCAUAGCUGUGUAAUUCUGUGUUAUUUUAAGAGUUGGAAUUUGAUUCACUUUGACAUUCUACCGUUCUUACAUCUCUCUUCGAUUUGGAAUGUUUAAUGUGUUUCUCUCUUCCAUGAAUUAUAUUUAUGUAGAAUUGGACCAAGGAGGAAACAGAUCAACUGUUUGACUUGUGUGAUAGGUUUAAUCUCAAAUUUAUUGUUAUAGCUGAUAGGUUUCCUUCAUCUCGAACUGUUGAAGAAUUAAAGGAUCGAUAUUAUAGUGGUUGUCGGAGAGUCUAAGUCGGUUGCUGCUUCAAAUUCUAGUGCAGAUGUUACAGAGAGGGCCAGCCCCAAUGAAACUAUAUCUCCAUCAAAUAUGCAAUGUCCAUCGACAGUAUUGCCUUCAAUAAUAACGAGUGAUAGUCUAAGUCGGUUGCUGCUUCAUGAUGAUGAUUUAAUCAGUUUGAGCCUUUUUGUUGUUGAGAAAGUUUUUCAUUCAUUAUAACAGAAAUCAUGAGGGGAGAGAAAGUUGAAGUGUGUGUGAUAUGGUUAGUACCUGUCCCGGUUUUUUUUAUGAAGGUUUCUUGAGAAAAGAAUGAGGUGAAGAUGAAAAUGAAUAUGAGAUGGAAGACUGUUGAAUGGUGCUGAGUUCUUUUUUCGUUAAUAUGAGAGUGUGAAGUUUUCUCUUGGUGUUAUCAUGAAGAUGAAAACGCGUGGAGAGAGAAAGCUACAUGGGAUAGGUUUUUCAAAAGUGAGUGAAAAAGACUAGUCAGCACCACACAUGCCAACGUGGCCAAUAAUAACAUAAACAGUCAGCAUGUGUGGUAAAGAGGUGUGGUGAAUCCAUGAAUUGAGUUUUAUAAGGGGCCUUAUGUAAAAAAAAAAACUUCAGGGGGCCCAAACCAAAACUCGCUAUAAUGGCAGGGGGUGUAGUUUAUUUAACCCUUUCAGUUAAGAGUAAAUGAAGAGGUUGUUACCCUUCUCUUUGUCAAUUUGUUAAUUUUGUUCUUUUUUGUUUGUUUGUAUGUAAUUAUUGUUUGAUGUUAUUUUAGUUGGAUGCCCGAUGAAGUUGGUCUUAAUAAGAGUUUUUGAAGUCUUAGUUUGAGUUGUUAUUUCCUAGUUCAUGUGUGUAAAUAUGCUCUUUAUUAAUGAUGUAUGUUGAUUGGUAUAAAUUUGAAUUUGAGUUGUUAUUUCCUAGUUCAUGUGUGUAAAUAUACUAUUUAUUUGUGAGGUAUUUUGAUUGGUAUUAAUUUGAAAUCCAAAUUCUAAGUUAUGUCAUGAUUCUCCUUAGCUAAAUCAUUCUUUUCACUGUCUCUGAGUUCCAGAACUUGUGUAUAGAUGUUUAUUUGAUCUUGUGCCUCUGUUGAAAUAUCCAAUUUGCUCCUUAGUUGAUAAAUUGUAACCUUCCAAAAUAACCUAUGCAAUCUUACUCAUAGGCCGAAUCAUAAUCUGGUAUGAUAGUGCGGGAUUAACAAUAUUGUUUGUAAGGUUGAUGGGAUUAGUGAGUACUUUGUUAAUAAUUAAUUAGAAGUCUAAAAUU